AGGGAAGUAGGACUUCAACAUGGCGGCCGAGGUACUGGCGGUGGCUACGGCCUGGCCCGGGGCGGACAGAGUUGGAAGUGGUGUCUUUCGCUUUCCCUAGGGGCGUCGGGAACUUAGCGGGGACUGAGCCUGGGAGGUCGGCUGGUGCCAGAACCUUUCGGUUUUUGGGACGGCGGCGGCAGCAGCGUUCAGGUGAGGGGGCCUCUCUGGGGGAGGAGGAAAGAGGGGCGGAGUUGGGGGGAGGGGGCCGGUACUGAGCGACCUACCAUGGAGGAAACCUGGGGAAAGACUGGAGGCCCUGCGGGUUAAUUGGAAUUAAUGGGUGGGAGGGAGAAGGGGUUAGACCAAGAUCCGAGACUUGGGAGGAUUCUGGGAGAAGGGUCGGAGUGACGGGAAGAGAGUUAAAGGGGAGGAGGGCAGAAGAGAUGUGGGAAAAUGAGUUCGGAUUACAAGCACUAAUACUCUACUAGAAAGAUGGGCGUAUUGGACACCUAUCGGGUUGAAGGGAGAACUCGGUGGGAACUAGAAAAUGUUGAGGAGAGGGACCCAGGUUUUAGUAAAGAAGCUGAGCGCUGGGGAGUUGCGAGUGAGCUGGAAAUGUGUAGAUUUAGAUAUCUGUGAGGCAGUGAGAUUAGGGAGAAAUGGAGACCAGACCAGGGUUGAGUGUUUUUUGGGUAUAUCUUUGGCAUCAUCUGGUCUUCUCCAGGUAUUACUUUUUUUGUUUGUUUCGCUGGUGGAGAUUUAUCUGAACAGCCCCAAAUCUUUCUUGUGACACCAAGUUACAGUUCACUUAUUUGAUUUAUAUCUGUGAUCUCUGACCUUUGUGUUCUUGCCACAUGUAAUUGUUUACAGACUAACGUGUUAAAAGUUAUGGCUGGGCGUAAAAAUAGACUUUCUGUUAAACUAGAUUAACAUUUUGAGAGUCUUUAGACAUCAAGGAGUGCAGCAAAACCAGAUUUGGUAAUUUACUUACUAAACAUCUUCUGUGCUAACCUUACAUUGUAAUGCUUUAUCUCUUUCCUCAGUUCUCAUUAUUAGUAUCUGAGAAUUUGAAUAGAUGUGAUGGAUAUUUCUCUGCUGAAUUUUAUUAGAUUUGAUGGUGGGGGGGAAAAAGACACUUAGUUCUCAGGGACAGAUAGCUUUUUCUAGUUAACGUCCCAACCUAGUUAAACUGAAAAUUUUUAUUUUAUCCUAUAGGAAAGAAUGUGAAAUGUCCAAAGUCUAAAACAAUUACAGUGUUUGCAUCAAAGUAGAAUUUUAUAUUAAAACAAGAAUUUUAUAAAUUAAAUUUUGCUUCGGUCUAUUUUAUUCAGUUUCUUAUUUAUUGAAUGCCUACUUGUGCUUCAUUAAUGAGUCAUUGUAAUUAUGGAAGUGGGAAGUUAGAAAAUUAAUGUUUCUCUAGUGAGCAUCUCUUACAGCACAGCAGAUGUGCUGAUAACUUAUUAACCACGCUGUGGCUUCUUUGGAGUGGGGGGAGUGUUAGAAAUGAAAGCAAAGGAGAAAAAUUAAGUAUAUGUAUAUAAAAAUGUCUUGAAUGUCUUUUGCUUAGUAUUUAAGAUUCAUUACUACAUUAUAACAUGUUUUAUGUUUGUAACACAUUAUCAUUAUUUUUGCAGCACCAGGGAUUGAACCCAGGAGCAUUCUAACUUUUAUCUACAUCUGCCACUCUUUUUUUUUUUUUAAUUUUGAAAUAGGGUCUUGCUUAAUUGACCAUACUUUCCUCUUAAUUUGUGACCUUCUGCCUCUUGGGUUACUGGGAUUACUGGCAUGUACCACCAUGCCUGGUCUGAUAUUUCUUUUUACUUUGAAAAAGGUAGUAACAGUACUCUGAUAAGAUAAUAUUAGGUCUGUAAACAAGUCUCAUCAAUGGUUGUUAAGUGCACUUUUUUGACUGGCAACUUCACUUUAUCUUGUGUGUCUUGUCUUUUGUCCUCUUUACUAAGGUAUUUAAAAGGAGAAUCCUAUAAGUUUAAUUUAGUGACUAAAAUUCUUUUCAAGUAAUUUGAAUUAGCGUAACUCCCGGAGUGUACAUACCAGUAUUCUAGUUUUUCUUGUUGUAGUGUUGAAUGCAUUAUGAUUGUUCAAAUGUAGAUAUUUCAACAUAAACUAAUAUUUUCCCCCAUAAACUAAUCAGAAAAAAGGAUACCAUUCAUUGGUCAUUAGUCAGGUGGUUUUCUUUAAAUAGUCUUUCUCAAGAAAUGUAUUUCUCAUUAGAGACCAUUAUAUUAAGUGAAAUAAGUCAAACUCAGAAGAUCAAGGGUCAUAUGUUUUCUUUCUUGUGGAAGCUAGAGAGGACAAAGGAAAAGAAAGGUGUGUGUGUAGGUGUCUCAUGAAAUUCAAAGGGAGAUCAGUAGAGGAAAGGGUUAGGGGAUGGGAGAUGAGGAGGGAAAGGAGAAAGACUAGGGAGUAAUAUGGGCCAAAUUAUAUUGUGCAUGUAUGAAUAUAUAGUAGUAAAUCCCAUCAUGAUAUAUAACUAUAAUGCACCAAUAAAAAAAGAAAUGCAUUUCUCUAAGAAAUGAUUGUUUACAACAUUAAGUUUUUCUUAGAAUCCUAGAGUGAAAAGAAACUUAGAAAUCACUUUGGUUUUGUUUCCCACACAGCAUGGAAAUUAAAGAUCCAUCUUUUUUUUUCAGAUAUUUUGUAGAAAACGAUGGUGGGACGCAGGUGUACUUUACCAGUGAAAUACAUUGCCAGACCUUUAAAAGAAAUUUUUUUUGAGAGAGUGGCUUUGAACUUGUGAUCCUCCUGCCUCAGCGUUUGGGAUUAUUGGCCAGUACCUCAACUCUAGGCUCCUUUUUUUUUUUUUUUUUUAAAUGAGUAGCAGAAUAAGAGAUUUAUUAUAAAGGGACAGUACACUAAUGGGGAGCAGGCAGUCACACCAGACAGUGAAUCACUGAGAAUUUCUUAUGGGAAAAGUACUUUCAGUUAGAAAAAGAACAAAAUGUUUUGCUUUUCCAACAGUAAUGUGUAGUGUACAGGUUCCUGUAAUAAUGGAAAUAACUUGAAUAUAAUAAUAAUAUUUUUGAUCUGGACAUAGUGGUGUAUGCCUGUAAUUCCGGUGCCAUGGGGAGCUGAGGUAGAAGAAUCCCAAAUUUGAGGCCAGCCUAGGCAAUUUAGUGAGACUGCCCCUCAAAAUAAAAAGGGCUAAGGAUGUAGAUGAGUGGUAGAGUGUCCCUUAGUGAAUCCCCAGUACAACCCAAGGCAGGGGAAAGUAUUUUUUUGUGGGGAGUAAGGCCUGUGGGAUGUAGCUCAAUGGAAGAGUGCUUGCUUAGCAUGCUUGAGACCUUGGGUUUGAUUUCCAGGUGAGGGACAAGAGGGAAGGUGCUAAUCCUGGGUAUAUAUUAAUUAGCCAGUAACACUACAUAAUCUCACAGUUUGAGGGAGAAGUAGGUUGAUUAUAAUAUAUAUAUUUUAUGUUUUGAGGAAUCUGAGGAUCAGAGAAUUGGAGUAACUAAGUUUUUUUUUUUUUUUUUUUUUUUUAAGAGAGAGAGAGAGAAUUUUAAUAUUUAUUUUUUUAGUUUUCGGCAGAUACAACAUCUUUGUUUGUGUGUGGUGCUGAGGAUUGAACCCGGGCCGCAUGCAUGCAGGGCGAGCGCGCUACCUCUUAAACCACAUCCCCAGCCCGAGUAACUAAGUUUAUAGCUGUAAAAUGAUAGAAUUUGAAUUUAGAUCUGUCUGAUUUGAGUGCUCAUGCUGCACAUGAGCUAUGGAAUGGUCACAGGGCCAUAAAGUAUAAGUAGUGGUUACAAAGUAAUGCCUUUUAAAACUACUUGUUUUCAGUGAACUACUGUAACUGGAAUGAAAAUGGCUCAUUGAAAUUUUAGACUUCAUAAUGUCAUUAAUAUUCUCGGAGGAAAUAAAUACCUGAAUAUUUUAUUCUUCACAAA
Molecule: long non-coding RNA, 3887 nt
Filed under: Marmota monax (woodchuck)
Lineage: Eukaryota; Metazoa; Chordata; Mammalia; Rodentia; Sciuridae
Source: RNAcentral